This 493-nucleotide long non-coding RNA is filed under the name Bos taurus (domestic cattle). RNAcentral's name for it is "long non-coding RNA NONBTAT005982". Lineage: Eukaryota; Metazoa; Chordata; Mammalia; Artiodactyla; Bovidae. The record is from RNAcentral.
GCAGAAGAGGGACUGUCUUACCUUCCUCCCAAAGGUACACUAAGUUGUGUCAUAACCACAGCAUUGAAGACUGGAAAGGAUUAUCACUUUAAAAAAGUGGGGGACAUUACCCCAAUGUCAUCAUGACGGGAAGGAGGCAGAGUUGUGUCCCCCGAGACAGCAGGUCAUCCUGGCCCCACCUGCUAGAGGGGACCCAUGUGGUUUGGGUUCCUUGUAGAUGACAGAAUCCAAUGCAAAAAUCUCUUUAGAGCUGUUCAGUGCAAAGGCUCAGAGAACACUCAGGCACACUCAGGCAAGAUAAACCACAUGGACAGCCCACAGACAGACCUUUCUGAGACAGAGGGACAGCCACGAGACGCCGAAAGCGACCUGAAGUUUUAGCGCUGUUGCCCACAGACUGAGGGUCAACAUUUAGUCAAGAAGAAUCACUGUGAUUAUUGAAUUUGAAGAUCUGAUACCCUCGAAAUGAAACAUUCCACAAACUCUGCUGAAA